AGCUUACGAAAUCUUUACUAAGAUUUCGUCACACACUAACGCACCAGGAUUGAUGAGACUCCUAAGAUAAGUUAAGUG
Non-coding RNA from Schistosoma curassoni, 78 nucleotides. The record is from Rfam. Lineage: Eukaryota; Metazoa; Platyhelminthes; Trematoda; Strigeidida; Schistosomatidae.